AGCCCAAGCAGUGGAAUCACACCAGAAUGCAAAUCCGGAGACGUACCCCCAUAAGGUGCCGGGGCUUC
Molecule: transfer RNA, 68 nt
Filed under: Afrogecko porphyreus
Lineage: Eukaryota; Metazoa; Chordata; Lepidosauria; Squamata; Gekkonidae
Description: partial tRNA-Cys
Source: RNAcentral